AGCAGCCGCGGUAAUUCCAGCUCCAAUAGCGUAUAUUAAAGUUGUUGCAGUUAAAAAGCUCGUAGUUGAAUUUCGGGGUUAAUAGGUUGGUCAUGCCUCUGGUAUGUACUGGUCUCACUGAUUCCUCCUUCCUGAUGAGCCGUAAUGCCAUUAAUUUGGUGUUGCGGGGAAUUUGGACUGUUACUUUGAAAAAUUAGAGUGUUUAAAGCAAGCUAACGCUUGAAUACAUUAGCAUGGAAUAAUGAAAUAGGACGUUCGAUCCUAUUUUGUUGGUUUCUAGGAUUGACGUAAUGAUUAAUAGGGAUAGUUGGGGGCAUUAGUAUUCAAUUGUCAGAGGUGAAAUUCUUGGAUUUAUUGAAGACUAACUACUGCGAAAGCAUUUGCCAAGGAUGUUUUCAUUAAUACAAGAACGAAAGUUAGGGGAUCGAAGACGAUCAGAUACCGUCGUAGUCUUUAACCAUAAACUAUGCCGACUAGGGAUCGGAUGAUGUUAAUUUUUAAUGUACUCA
RNAcentral lists this ribosomal RNA (509 nucleotides) under uncultured Glomus. Its description in RNAcentral is "SSU rRNA". It matches the Rfam family "Eukaryotic small subunit ribosomal RNA", at positions 569 to 1078 of the family's 1831-position model. Lineage: Eukaryota; Fungi; Glomeromycota; Glomeromycetes; Glomerales; Glomeraceae. The record is from RNAcentral.